ACGUCGGUGGCUCGGGCAGGGGCUCGGGCUCCGGCUCCGGCUGGGGCACGGGCUCCAGGUCCACGAGCGUCUCGUGCAGGUGCCC
RNAcentral lists this transfer RNA (85 nucleotides) under Nocardioides sp. LS1. Its description in RNAcentral is "tRNA-Arg". The record is from RNAcentral. Lineage: Bacteria; Bacillati; Actinomycetota; Actinomycetes; Propionibacteriales; Nocardioidaceae.